Long non-coding RNA from Cephus cinctus (wheat stem sawfly), 5477 nucleotides. RefSeq lists it as uncharacterized. The transcript has 8 exons. The record is from RefSeq and is a predicted model, not a curated record. NCBI's taxonomy places the organism in Eukaryota, Metazoa, Arthropoda, Insecta, Hymenoptera, Cephidae.
UGCCGUUUUAAUAAAUCCUGGCCAGUGGGAAUUAUUCGUCUUUCCCACCCAAUGUCGGCACAGCGCCACGCCGUGAAGGUUAAUAACCGGAAUUAAAUACAAACUGCUCAUUAUAGUUUUUUAGUGAAUCGGGAAGAAGAAAAAGAAAAAGGAGGAGUUCGAUGUGCACGAAACAUUUGAAUUUAAAGAAUUACUAGUUGCUCAGAAGGAAGUAACAUCAGCGCCACCGCGUCGACUUCCGACAUCUUGACUGACCGUGAGUCGCGUAGUAUCCAAAAUGGCAUGUUCAGCUGUCACACGUUACAGCUCUGAUAAUUCCAAGUGCCAGUCAAUAAAAGCAUAAUAAAUUAAUCCAUCGUGAUCUCACGAUGAUCAAUCCUCUUUAUCCUCUUUUAAAUAUAAGUGGAAUCGUGAAGGAUCGCGUGUCAGAAAUUUCUCCGGUUCGGCACGGAUGACGGACGGUAGAAACUGUGAAAUUUACCAAAAACCGAUUAUAUCCGCCAAUGUGAAAGUUGCCACUCGGAAACAGUAUAGAACUAUAAACGCUUCAAGGAGGAUGAGUCGCAGUAAAAUGAUACAAGAGAAUAGCUACUCUCUACGGUACAGUCAGUUCUAUCCUAACCUAACCAUAACCUAACUUACUGAGCGGAGAGGGACUCGCGUUUAACCACGUUUAACCGGGUUUAUCCGCGAGCCGUAAACGCGGUUACCUUUUAACGACACCGCAAUCGUCUGCCAGGCAGAAAGUGAAACUCCACUUGGACUACCAGGUAGCUCAGUGAGAAGAGUCACGGUGUAUAUAGAUAUACACGAUGAGGCGGAGAGGUCAAAAAAAUAAAGAACAAACAUCGAGAGAAAAAAUAGGAUACAUAAAGAGGAGACCCGGCAAGGACCUUUUACUCCGAUCGAGAAUCCUCCUCAAGAUCCUUAACCGGAUAUGUUAAGUAUUCCUGCAGCAUAAGACUUGGUAAUUCCAUGACUUUGCUGUGAGACGCGGCCAAUAUCGCUCAGAUAAAUCGCCGUCUUAUAAAUUCCCAGCGACAUGUGCAGCGCCUGCUUCUGCGUUACUACAAACAGGAAUACCUAUUGCGUGGCAGAAUGAAAGGGCCUGUAGCCACUGAAUCUCGUUCUCAAUCGCUAAACGAGACUCGCUCGCCUAAUCGCGGCAGGAUCAUUCUGCAAUGCUAAAUGGGGAUGCCCGAGGUGGCUGCAGAAGGUGGCGAGCACUUGUAGUACCUGAAAGAAUAACGAGAGAGAAUAGAAUGAAGUAAAAAGGGAUAAAAGGGAGAAAAAGGACUGAGGUAAGGUACAGAGCAUCGCUUUAAGAAUACCUUUAAGAUUACUCGCAUCUACCUUAACCGGAGGGCAAGUGAAAGUUCUUCUCGACAUACGCGACUUACACCAUAAGUGCGUCCGCACGCUGUAAGCGGGACAAUCUAUUUUGUAUAGCACUGUAUAUACCUGGCUGUAUCCAAACAUAGGUAAUGCGUACCGAGAAUGUGUAUUGCAUAUAGAUACGUCUGUCCAGAGCAAAUAGGUUUACCUAUGUGAAGAGAAUGGGAUACUUAUGGUGAUCCGUGGGAAUCUGAUGGAAAUAAACAUAUUUCUUUUUUUUUUUUAAUGCCAUCAGAUUCGGCGUGAUAAGAAUUCGCAAGGCUGCGCAAGAUCAAAGACCGGUAGGGGCGAUACGCAAAUUGAAAAAGAAAGACGCGAAGGUAUCCAGAAGACUGCUUGUUUCUUGGAAAAAAAAUGAUGUAUCAAAAUUAAUCGCCGGAUGCGAUCUAAUCGGUUCCCACGAUUCAAAUUAUGCAACUUCCACCCGAAACGAUCCUGCCAUUAUGAUGAGACCGGUAGUCGAAUUAGGCUAUGUUCAUUGAUCACUGAACAGUGGAUGUAUCAAUGGAUUUUACUGAAAACUCCGAUAACGCAAAAAGAAAUGAGGCUCCAUCUGUCCUUUUACUCAUUAUUCAAUAUUCCACGUAUAGCAGGGAAAAAGCCCUAAGCCAAUUACAAAGUCUCUAACGAGACAUUAACCAGAACUAAAGAUAUUAUCUGACCAGUUAUCAUCUGAAGGUACUUUUGGGUCAAUAGCAAGAAAAGCGUAUCGCCUCGAUCUUUAAAAUAUUUGACAAGUAAUCCAAGCUCCUCUCUGCAUAUACACACAGUACAGGAACUCAACUGGCAAGCUAAAGUCCGUAUACACGUAGCGACAGAAGUACUGAAACACUAUAGAGACAGUCGGGGCAGCAUAAUCUAGCCCAGAGUUGGCACACGUGGCUGCUAUAGUCCCAACCGAUGCUGAUGCGGCACAGCUAUCAUUAGCUAUGCAAAGCUUCUCCUACUUUUAAGAAAUCGAAACUUAACGGUUCGCUGCUCAGCAUCCUGAGACGAGGAUGAAGACGAGGACGAGGACGAGCCCUGAGGAUCGGAUAGGUUAGGUCAGGUAGACGAAGGUGCAGGCAGAGAAAGAUGACAUUAGAGGCUGCUGGGGUCAUUUAAAUAAAACGGAUCCAAAGGCGGCCCAACAUUAUUUCCCUAGGGUCCCCAUAGAUGGGUCUGAUAAUACAUAGCAUCGUUGUCAUCGUCCUUCACUGCACUGUCAUAAGUAUCAUUGGAAGCACGUGACGCUCCUUUGCGUCUUCCUGGGUAAUUUAGUGUCAUCGUACACACGUGUAAUUACGUAGGCCCAUUACCAACAGUGCAAUAUGGAUGACAGUUGCAAAAAGUUAUAAGAGGUGCAGUAGUCGACUUGGGACGCAUUACGCCACUGUUGCUAUCCAAUGUAGACUCUCUGAAGAUACUGUGUGAAAGCAUCUUAAUAUCAAUACUAAUAUUUCAAUCUGCAAAACAGUCGUACACUCAAUACCAUCGAGGCUGGUCUCGAUAAAAAAAAAUCAUAUUGCUAAUAAUUUACUAAGAAAAUGAAUUCUCUCAUUGAUGACCAAGUGGUACUGCAAUGCACGAUCAUGAUGCAUCAUCAUCAUCGUCAUCAUCAUAACCGCACAUCUAUUUGCGGUAUGGAGAUCUUUUAUUAUUCUUUUUUUUUUUUUUUUAAUCUAUCUCUAUCUCUUUUCAGUAACUCCCACGCAAUUUAUUACCGGUCUUUGCCAUCUUUGGAAGAGACAGUAUAUACCGAUGGCGCUUCGUGUCUUCCCCACGCACCGACGCCGAGCGUCGGUCCUCCAUACCAAUCUUCCAAUAUAUUAAUGCCAACUAUCAUCGCCGAUCUGUCCUCGUCGAUUUUCGAUGACUAUGACUUUCCAGCUCGCCGUUAUUCUUGUUAUUAUUAGUCAAUGCAAUCUCUAUUACUCAACGCCCGUAUCCUGAGUCAUCCCGACGCUUUAUAUAUACCGUCUAUUACAAACGUACAAUGCCGGAUAAGAAAUAGCAAGUUAUAUGUCACUUAGAAUGGAGACCGGACUGAUGGAUGGAUAUAUGGAUGGACAGAGACCCUGAAGGAGAAGGGGACCUGGCCUGGGUCUGCGAGGACCGGAACUGUUCUGCCAUUACAUAAAUGAACGGAAUAAAACAGCGUGGCUUACGUAAAGUGGCUUUUCGCUUUGGUUUGAAGGAUGCGUUGCAGGAUCUCACGGAUGGGUACUUCGCUUGCUGUUUGCUCGUUACGCCGAUAUUCUCAUACACGUCGCGAAUUUAUGGCGUCUACAAAUAUAGAAGAAAACACGAGAGGCACUGGCAGCGUCAGGACUAGAAGGAUAAAACAGAUAAAAAUGAUAAACCUUCCUUUCUAUAUUUGCGCUCCUUCAUUUUUCGCGCUUCUCUCACGGCCGAUGUCAUUUUUCUAUCACGCACUUCUCCUUUAUUAUUUCUAACAAUUAUGCUACUUGUGUAACAAAGAAUAACAAAGCACUGCGUAAUAGUCGAUCAGCACUACCGUAUCUUGUAGAGUAUAAGAUCCCGCUGGACUUUCUCGUCAAAGUACGAAUAUUUAUAAUUGCAAUAUUUAAUCGGCCUACUGUAUCCGUUCGUAUAAAACUGUCGGUACGGGCUUGUUGAAGAUGCAUAUAAAAGUUAAAGAAAGAGAAAAGGCAGAUUCAUCUACCUUGCGUCAUCCACCUGCCGCACGAACCGAGUCCGGUACCGGUUCGAGUAUCUGGUUCUGGUUGCGUUGGCCUAUCUGACAUCGUCCCAUUAAGCCAGCAGCCGGAUAAGAGGCUUGGUAUUUAGUUUUAAUUUGGUCGCGCGUAGAGUCAUUCUAACCACAAGAUUGGUAUACGAGAGGUCGGGCUGCGAUAGACGUGUAGACGUAGUAGACUACAGACGUAUUCGACUGUGUGCCCGACGUCUCGUCUCUCUUUCUCUCGUGCUCUCUCUAUAUAUAUAUACACAUAUGCAUACAAAGUCAUAAGGGGCCCAAAAGAGGCACAGGUGUACCAAAAUUAAUGAGUCACGGGCCCCGGCUCACGUUAACCAUUACAUGACUGUGUAGAUACCUUUAGAAAACACAAAGCUAUGUGAUAUUGGCAGUUAGAAAAAAGAAGUGGUAACAAUGGUGUCCUGCCGGAGGGUUGGGCGGUUGCCUGGGGCGACGGGGGGGUGUCGGGGAGGGGGAGGCAAUGGAAACUAAUGAUAAAAAAAGAUCAGUACCAAUUACAAGUGGCUGCAGACUGCCGAGUCCCAAUCGGAUAAAUCCUGGCCAUGUAGAAGACUAGGAGCUUCGUGAACUCUUGGCGUAGAUACCCGGGUGCUCGGCGUGGAUCGCGGAGGUGAACGAGGCGAGGAGAUGUUGCCGGCGAAGGAGGAGAACCUGGAGAACGGCGGAGAACGAGGAGGCGAACAACUUUCACGCGACGACGAGCUUCUUCGUAUCGGAAUGCUUCCGAGGCCAGUGUCGGCGGAGCUGAGGGGCCGACCUGACUGGCUGAUUGGGCCUGAUCGAAAUUACACAUUCUCCAAUGCGAAGAGUCUGCUCCUGCUGCUGCGGCCUGGGGGCUGUUUAUAUUUUUCAUCUUGAUCUUUUUCUCUUCCCUUUUAUCUUUUUUUUUAUUGUCUCAUUUCUCUCCCUUUUACGUAUGAAGUGUAAAGACUGAUCUUGGGGUCUGAUGUAAUAGGGCCCAUUCUGUUCCUUGGUAUUUUCAUCUUCCCGGCUGAUGUAUACUACCUGAUUGAUUUUAAUCAUCGGUACCGAUAAGAUUUAUAUAAUCUGGCGUUUAUUGAUCAUUCUUCUGUCGUAUCUUGGGUCCCUGUUAUAAGGCCCCUGGAACUUUACUCGAUCUCUACCAGUUUAUAGAUAUAGUUUCUGCGUAUGGGGAAAGUUUAUCUUAUUUAUUCACGGCGCUGCAGUCUAUUUUAAUGAACGAGCUCGUCGCCUCCGCGUCGUCCUCCUAGGAUACUGGGUCAGGUUAUGUCAUGUGACGUGAUUUUUCGAAUCACGGUCCCAAGGCGGCUCCGGUUAACGAUACAGAUAACGUUCUCGAUUUCUGGUUCCCUUCGGGUCGCCACCCUGUUCAGAAGCUACG